UACGAAGGGGGCUAGCGUUGUUCGGAAUCACUGGGCGUAAAGCGCACGUAGGCGGAUCUUUAAGUCAGGGGUGAAAUCCCGAGGCUCAACCUCGGAACUGCCUUUGAUACUGGGGAUCUCGAGUCCGGGAGAGGUGAGUGGAACUGCGAGUGUAGAGGUGAAAUUCGUAGAUAUUCGCAAGAACACCAGUGGCGAAGGCGGCUCACUGGCCCGGUACUGACGCUGAGGUGCGAAAGCGUGGGGAGCAACAGG
RNAcentral lists this ribosomal RNA (252 nucleotides) under uncultured bacterium. RNAcentral describes it as "partial 16S ribosomal RNA". It matches the Rfam family "Bacterial small subunit ribosomal RNA", at positions 524 to 775 of the family's 1533-position model. The record is from RNAcentral.